AAUCUGUGGAUCGAGGAUUCGUCCAAGUGAAGCAGAGGACAGUGGCGGACGGGUGAGUAACGCGUGAGGAACCUGCCUUUCAGAGGGGGACAACAGUUGGAAACGACUGCUAAUACCGCAUGAUACAUUUGGGUGGCAUCAUCUGAAUGUCAAAGAUUUAUCGCUGAAAGAUGGCCUCGCGUCUGAUUAGCUAGUUGGUGAGGUAACGGCCCACCAAGGCGACGAUCAGUAGCCGGACUGAGAGGUUGACCGGCCACAUUGGGACUGAGAUACGGCCCAGACUCCUACGGGAGGCAGCAGUGGGGAAUAUUGGGCAAUGGGCGCAAGCCUGACCCAGCAACGCCGCGUGAAGGAAGAAGGCUUUCGGGUUGUAAACUUCUUUUAAGAGGGAAGAGCAGAAGACUGUACCUCUAGAAUAAGCCACGGCUAACUACGUGCCAGCAGCCGCGGUAAUACGUAGGUGGCAAGCGUUGUCCGGAUUUACUGGGUGUAAAGGGCGUGCAGCCGGGAAUGCAAGUCAGAUGUGAAAUCCAUGGGCUUAACCCAUGAACUGCAUUUGAAACUGUAUUUCUUGAGUACUGGAGAGGCAAUCGGAAUUCCUAGUGUAGCGGUGAAAUGCGUAGAUAUUAGGAGGAACACCAGUGGCGAAGGCGGAUUGCUGGACAGCAACUGACGGUGAGGCGCGAAAGUGUGGGGAGCAAACAGGAUUAGAUACCCUGGUAGUCCACACUGUAAACGAUGAAUACUAGGUGUGCGGGGACUGACCCCCUGCGUGCCGCAGUUAACACAAUAAGUAUUCCACCUGGGGAGUACGAUCGCAAGGUUGCAACUCAAAGGAAUUGACGG
This 846-nucleotide ribosomal RNA is filed under the name uncultured Bacteroidota bacterium. Its description in RNAcentral is "bacterial SSU rRNA". It matches the Rfam family "Bacterial small subunit ribosomal RNA", at positions 64 to 916 of the family's 1533-position model. Lineage: Bacteria; Pseudomonadati; Bacteroidota. The record is from RNAcentral.